ACACGAACCGCACGAACGUUAUUCGGAAUCACUGGGCUUAAAGGGUGCGUAGGCGGUCCGGUAAGUUGGGUGUGAAAGCCCUCGGCUCAACCGAGGAAUUGCGCCCAAAACUACCGGACUUGAGGAAGACAGAGGUGAGCGGAACUUGCGGUGGAGCGGUGAAAUGCGUUGAUAUCGCAAGGAACACCAGUGGCGAAAGCGGCUCACUGGGUCUUUUCUGACGCUGAGGCACGAAAGCUAGGGGAGCGAACGGGAUUAGAUACCCCGGUAGUCC
RNAcentral lists this ribosomal RNA (274 nucleotides) under uncultured bacterium. Its description in RNAcentral is "partial 16S ribosomal RNA". It matches the Rfam family "Bacterial small subunit ribosomal RNA", at positions 523 to 796 of the family's 1533-position model. The record is from RNAcentral.